GCGAAGCACUUAAGUGGAUCUCUUCGGAUUGAAACUUAUUUGACUGAGCGGCGGACGGGUGAGUAACGCGUGGGUAACCUGCCUCAUACAGGGGGAUAACAGUUAGAAAUGGCUGCUAAUACCGCAUAAGCGCACAGGACCGCAUGGUCUGGUGUGAAAAACUCCGGUGGUAUGAGAUGGACCCGCGUCUGAUUAGCUAGUUGGAGGGGUAACGGCCCACCAAGGCGACGAUCAGUAGCCGGCCUGAGAGGGUGAACGGCCACAUUGGGACUGAGACACGGCCCAGACUCCUACGGGAGGCAGCAGUGGGGAAUAUUGCACAAUGGGGGAAACCCUGAUGCAGCGACGCCGCGUGAAGGAAGAAGUAUCUCGGUAUGUAAACUUCUAUCAGCAGGGAAGAAAAUGACGGUACCUGACUAAGAAGCCCCGGCUAACUACGUGCCAGCAGCCGCGGUAAUACGUAGGGGGCAAGCGUUAUCCGGAUUUACUGGGUGUAAAGGGAGCGUAGACGGAAGAGCAAGUCUGAUGUGAAAGGCUGGGGCUUAACCCCAGGACUGCAUUGGAAACUGUUUUUCUAGAGUGCCGGAGAGGUAAGCGGAAUUCCUAGUGUAGCGGUGAAAUGCGUAGAUAUUAGGAGGAACACCAGUGGCGAAGGCGGCUUACUG
This 665-nucleotide ribosomal RNA is filed under the name uncultured Lachnospiraceae bacterium. Its description in RNAcentral is "bacterial SSU rRNA". It matches the Rfam family "Bacterial small subunit ribosomal RNA", at positions 46 to 731 of the family's 1533-position model. Lineage: Bacteria; Bacillati; Bacillota; Clostridia; Lachnospirales; Lachnospiraceae. The record is from RNAcentral.